This 429-nucleotide ribosomal RNA is filed under the name Pseudomonadota bacterium. RNAcentral describes it as "Proteobacteria bacterium partial 16S ribosomal RNA". It matches the Rfam family "Bacterial small subunit ribosomal RNA", at positions 355 to 776 of the family's 1533-position model. Lineage: Bacteria; Pseudomonadati; Pseudomonadota. The record is from RNAcentral.
UGGGGAAUAUUGGACAAUGGGCGAAAGCCUGAUCCAGCCAUGCCGCGUGUGUGAAGAAGGUCUUCGGAUUGUAAAGCACUUUAAGUUGGGAGGAAGGGCAGUAAGCGGAUACCUUGCUGUUUUGACGUUACCGACAGAAUAAGCACCGGCUAACUCUGUGCCAGCAGCCGCGGUAAUACAGAGGGUGCAAGCGUUAAUCGGAAUUACUGGGCGUAAAGCGCGCGUAGGUGGUUCGUUAAGUUGAAUGUGAAAGCCCCGGGCUCAACCUGGGAACUGCAUCCAAAACUGGCGAGCUAGAGUAGGGCAGAGGGUGGUGGAAUUUCCUGUGUGGCGGUGAAAUGCGUAGAUAUAGGAAGGAACACCAGUGGCGAAGGCGACCACCUGGGCUCAUACUGACACUGAGGUGCGAAAGCGUGGGGAGCAAACAGG